RNAcentral lists this ribosomal RNA (255 nucleotides) under Enterococcus faecalis. Its description in RNAcentral is "partial 16S ribosomal RNA". It matches the Rfam family "Bacterial small subunit ribosomal RNA", at positions 340 to 586 of the family's 1533-position model. RNAcentral also lists the same sequence under 2 other names. The record is from RNAcentral. Lineage: Bacteria; Bacillati; Bacillota; Bacilli; Lactobacillales; Enterococcaceae.
UACGGGAGGCAGCAGUAGGGAAUCUUCGGCAAUGGACGAAAGUCUGACCGAGCAACGCCGCGUGAGUGAAGAAGGUUUUCGGAUCGUAAAACUCUGUUGUUAGAGAAGAACAAGGAUGAGAGUAAAAUGUUCAUCCCUUGACGGUAUCUAACCAGAAAGCCACGGCUAACUACGUGCCAGCAGCCGCGGUAAUACGUAGGUGGCAAGCGUUGUCCGGAUUUAUUGGGCGUAAAGCGAGCGCAGGCGGUUUCUUAA